CAGCCGCGCCCCCAGCCGUAUUUCCGCGGGCGCUGAGCACUAGAGAGAGCGUCUUGUGGCUGCGGCCUGCCCCUCAGCCUCCUCCGCGCGGUUACCCCUGUACCCGCCGCCAUCCGUCCUGGCGCUCCGGAUGAGUCAAUGAGGGGCAGGGCCCGAGGAGUGGUCUUCCCAAGAACCCCUGGUGGCCUCCCAAGGCCGGUGCUGUGUACCUCCUCCCCGACAAAAGGGGAAACUGAGGCCCCGAGGGGAGUGGGAAGAGCCGGCUGGACGUCAGGCCCAGCCGCUGGUGCAGUGGUCCGUCCCCUCUGCCGGGGUGGGCCCCUCGGGUUUCGCGUGUCCUCGGGAAAGAGACUGGCGGGUGAGCCGCGCCCUCGGCCUUCGCUGGGCUAAGCCGACCCCAUGCAGACGUCAAACCCCCCUAGGCCUCGUGGGCUGUGCGGCUAUCCUGGAGACAGAUGACAGCUCUCCCUUGGAUGGCUUUGCUGGUUCCGCACCAGCCAGCGCCCCCAUUUUUCCUGCAGCACCCUGAUCUGCACUCCCUGAGGGGCUCCCACUGUCCGCGGUGUGAGGAUGUCCCUGGAUAGUCCACUGUGUGCAGAGGCAUGGGAGUUGUCAUGUUGGGAACAUGCUAGACCUCAGUAUCCUUGAGGGAUGCUGCCUUGGGUCUGGAAACUGUUAGAGGAAACCCCAAGAGGUGCAGGCACUGAGCCUCUCAGGACAAUGACCUGGGGUCCCAGCUCCCCUGGAGGGGCCUCCUCAUGAUUGUUUGGGGGUUGAUCACAGACCAAGAGUGACGAGUGAUGUCACCCUGUGACUCAUGGCUGGACCUUCUUGCCCCUAUUGUCUCAGCACAACAUUAUUCGACUUUUCCCUCAGCGUGGGUGGGCAGAGGAAAAGCCCUGUGGCUCUGGGGACUUGGGAUCCAGAGUUGAAGACCCUUCAGCUGGCUCUGCCCUGCCAGUGCCACAGAGUGCCAUGGCCCAGGAAGACAGGUUUUCUUCCAUCUAGGCCAGGCCAUCCAGUGGCCAUCCUCCGUGUCCUCCCGCCUCCUCCUGGUGUGACUUCUGAAAACCAAGAAUUUGUUCCUGUUGACUUUUUCUGUGCUAUGGACCAUUGUCCUCUCACCCACUCAAUAAAUCUUGAAACAUG
Molecule: long non-coding RNA, 1149 nt
Filed under: Homo sapiens (human)
Lineage: Eukaryota; Metazoa; Chordata; Mammalia; Primates; Hominidae
Description: HSALNT0401003
Source: RNAcentral